ACGUAGGGGGCAAGCGUUAUCCGGAUUUACUGGGUGUAAAGGGAGCGUAGACGGCAGUGCAAGUCUGAAGUGAAAGCCCGGGGCUCAACCCCGGGACUGCUUUGGAAACUGUGCAACUAGAGUGUCGGAGAGGCAAGCGGAAUUCCUAGUGUAGCGGUGAAAUGCGUAGAUAUUAGGAGGAACACCAGUGGCGAAGGCGGCUUGCUGGACGAUGACUGACGUUGAGGCUCGAAAGCGUGGGGAGCAAACAG
RNAcentral lists this ribosomal RNA (251 nucleotides) under uncultured bacterium. Its description in RNAcentral is "partial 16S ribosomal RNA". It matches the Rfam family "Bacterial small subunit ribosomal RNA", at positions 525 to 775 of the family's 1533-position model. The record is from RNAcentral.